Malania oleifera is the source of this 277-nucleotide long non-coding RNA. RefSeq lists it as uncharacterized. The record is from RefSeq and is a predicted model, not a curated record. The transcript is spliced from 3 exons. Lineage: Eukaryota; Viridiplantae; Streptophyta; Magnoliopsida; Santalales; Ximeniaceae.
CUGAAUAUGGAGAGUUUGUUCGGAGUUUUAAUGCUCCUUCUGUUGAUGAGAAAUUUGAGCUGUUGGGCAUCAUGGCCAAUGUGUUUAUUGUUGCUCCUGAAAGCCUCGCCACUUUGUUUGAGGGUACUCCGAGUAUCAGGAAAGAUGCACAAAGGUUUAUUCAACUUCGGGAGGACUACAAGAGUGCAAAACUUGCUGCCAGACUCAGUUCUUUGUGGCCAAGGUCCAGUUAAGACAGGAUUGGUGCGCUGUAAAGGUAACCUGCCACUUCUCUUGG